CGCCAGACUCCUACGGGAGGCAGCAGUGGGGGAUAUUGCACAAUGGGGGGAACCCUGAUGCGGCGACGCCGCGUGGGUGAAGAAGUAUUUCGGUAUGUAAAGCCCUAUCGGCAGGGAAGAAAUUGGACGGUACCUGACUAAGAAGCCCCGGCUAACUACGUGCCAGCAGCCGCGGGAAUACGUAGGGGGCAAGCGUUAUCCGGAUUCACUGGGUGUAAAGGGAGCGUAGACGGCCAUGCAAGCCUGGAGUGAAAGCCCGGGGCCCAACCCCGGGACUGCUCUGGGACCUGUGCGGCUGGAGUGCGGGAGGGGCAGGCGGAAUUCCUGGUGUAGCGGUGAAAUGCGUAGAUAUCAGGAGGACCACCGGCGGCGAAGGCGGCCUGCUGGACCGCGACUGACGUUGAGGCUCGAAAGCGUGGGGAGCAAACAGGAUUAGAUCCCCCGGUAUC
RNAcentral lists this ribosomal RNA (449 nucleotides) under uncultured bacterium. RNAcentral describes it as "bacterial SSU rRNA". It matches the Rfam family "Bacterial small subunit ribosomal RNA", at positions 329 to 794 of the family's 1533-position model. The record is from RNAcentral.